AUUGAUUGGAAUUGAUUGAGACUGAAUUAUGGAUUAGUAAAUGGCGUGGUUAAAUUCUGCAAUUGAGUGUUAAAUUAUGCAAAUCGAGUGCUGAUUGGAUUCUUGGUAUUUAAUUCCAAAAUUUGUGGAUUUUGAUAUUUAUUCAGAAAAUCCCAGGUGUCGGGUUUUGACACCAAAAAUAGUUUUUAGUACUAUAUGAAAUAGUGGGAUUUCAAAAAGGAUGAAUAUCAAUUUUUCUGGAUCAAGUUGACCGUGUACCCACGCACGAGUAAUUUCAGGUGAAUUUUUAAUACGAAGAAAAAGGCCAGGCUCACCAUUUUAAUUGAAGCAUUUGAGUGCAAUGCACGGUGCCCUGGG
RNAcentral lists this long non-coding RNA (357 nucleotides) under Eucalyptus grandis. RNAcentral's name for it is "long non-coding RNA (EGRA_LNC002798)". The record is from RNAcentral. Lineage: Eukaryota; Viridiplantae; Streptophyta; Magnoliopsida; Myrtales; Myrtaceae.